AGCAGCCGCGGUAAUUCCAGCUCCAAUAGCGUAUAUUAAAGUUGUUGCAGUUAAAAAGCUCGUAGUUGAACUUCGGGGUUUACCCAUUGGUCAGGCUUAAUUGUCUGUACUGGUGAGAUGAAUCUCUACCUUCUGAGGAACUUUCAUGCCAUUUAUUUGGUGCGAUUGGAAAUCAGGACUGUUACUUUGAAAAAAUUAGAGUGUUUAAAGCAGGCUACGUCU
Molecule: ribosomal RNA, 222 nt
Filed under: uncultured Diversisporaceae
Lineage: Eukaryota; Fungi; Glomeromycota; Glomeromycetes; Diversisporales
Description: partial 18S ribosomal RNA
Rfam family: Eukaryotic small subunit ribosomal RNA
Source: RNAcentral